This is a long non-coding RNA of Hippopotamus amphibius kiboko, 2661 nucleotides long. RefSeq lists it as uncharacterized. NCBI's taxonomy places the organism in Eukaryota, Metazoa, Chordata, Mammalia, Artiodactyla, Hippopotamidae. The transcript has 4 exons. The record is from RefSeq and is a predicted model, not a curated record.
AGCAUCACCAGGCUCCCUGCUGUCCUACGGGCCCCAGCCCCGCCAAACACCUCGCCCCUUCCACCGAAUCUCGCUCUCUGGAUCCUAACCCUUCCCUGAGGCGGGGGCGGGCAACACUCUCGGCGGCUGGACUGCGACUCCAGAGGCCGUGCGUCCCCCUCACCAGGCCCCGCCUGGGCCUCUCGGCGCGGCUGCCCUCCAAGGCCCCUCUGGCCCAGCCGUCCUUACGCAGAAGAGUAGGGCAACACGAACCCAGAGCCCAGCACUUACUCGGGAAGGUAGGUGGAGGAGAAGGAGCUCCACUUGUGUAGCGCAUAGGGCAGAAGCCGGCACUCAGGCGCCGCAGCGACAGCCCCGCCAGCCGCCAUCUUGUCAGCACCGUAGCGGCCGCCACCGACCGCCAGCCGCGCCGGGAGGGGAGAAGGGGCGUGGCCUGCUCUUAAAGGGGCCGCGGUCCGCCUGGGCCGUCGGCUCUCCAGGUCUCGCGAAGUUACGCCUGUGUGAAGCCGGGGGACGCGCGCGGGUCCGCGGUUCACUCUGGGGGUCUCCGCCACUGAACCCUCCUGAAUGACUGACUGGCGGAAACUGGGACUGGAGUGUGAGCACCUGAGGGGCUCUCCAGUGGGGCUUGGAGAGGAAUGGCUCAAAUGACUUUUCUUGAAAGCUGAGAGGCACAGAGAGACGGGAAAAGGAAGUGCUCGUGUGUCCUCUCACCCUGUUCAGUUUUCAGUCUGUGGUGCCCUUCCUUGUAAGCAUCUGCUGUGAGCCAGCUUAUAUCCACCUUGCGCAAUUGGUUUGCCCAGGAACGAUAUUCAGCCACAGACCAGAAAAAUCCUGAAGGAGCUGGGAAGCUGGGUGUCGUCAUUCUUCCAGCUGCCACUGCAGUACCGAAGUACUCUUCUCUCAUUGUCUAAGAGGUUCUACCCCUGGAAGCCUGCACCACAUCUUCACCUCCACCUGACCGAUGGAAAAACUCAAGCAUAGAGUUUUUUAGUGAAUGACCAAAUCCAUCCAAGGACAUCAACUGAAGUAUGUCUUCAAAGAAACACCAGAUGUUGGAAUCAGGUCAAAGUAUUUCUCAAAUGUAAAUUUUCAUAGAGACUAUUACCAUGUUGAUCAUUUUUAUUUACUUUCUUCCUGUAUAUUUCCAAAUAAGUUCAAAGUGAUCUCCUUCUCCCCCCACUUCCACAACCAAUUUUUAGCAAUGCCACUUACUAAAUAUGUAGUACAAAGUUUGAGAACCUCUGUCUUUGGCCUAAUUUUACCCAAUUUAUUGUCAGAGUCACUGCUCUCAUAGCCCCCAAAGAUAACCAGCCUUACAGUGGGAUUCUCUGAUGAGCACAUUUCUGUGGUUGAGAACUUUUUCCCCUAAAGUCUUAGGAGACUGGCAGGCAGGAAACUGCCUAUAACUGACAGCUGAGCUCUCCUCCUCCCUUUGGAAUUUCUCCUGAGAAGUCAGCCUCCAGAAACCAGGCAGUGCAAUUGUAGCUGGGACAUCCACUUUGUAAGGUUUCCAUUUCAACUUUCCCACCUUAUCCAUUAGGUCCACAAUUAAAAUGAUUUUAGUGCUUAGAGUUGUGAACAGUAGUGAAUCAGCAUUUCAAAGAGAAUUGGUAACAGGUGAUGGUGGUAUAAAUGUCACAUUCUAGAGAUCCUACAUUCAUUUAAAAAACAAACCUAAAUGCUUUUUUCAAAAUCCCCUGCACUACUCAGUCUGUCGUCUUCUCUUUCUUUGUCCCUGUUUCUCCUCCCCUUCCUCUGUCUUCCUGCCUAGCUAUCUCCUUCACCUGUUCUCCCACCUUAUUACUGUCUUUCUGACUUGUUCCUCUUACCCCUGUUUAUCUGUCUUGACCCUCUGCAUCUUCCUGUUCCUUCUGCAUCUGAUUCCAUUUCUUUCACUCUGUAUUGUCUCCCCUUACCCACAACACACACCUCUUGCCUCUAUUUCACCGUCUUUCCCACUUGCUGCUCCUUCGUUGACGAUGAUAUAGAACAAAACCAUUGUCAGAUAUUUAUAAUUAUUAAAUAAGGUAUUUUAAUUUUAAAGCAGGUAAGUUCUGAAAAUGCUAUAUUUUUCUCUCCAAGGAGAAGAAAACACUUGCUCAUGGUUAGCACUCCUCACAUACUAACUAUAAUAAUAUUUUUCUUAUAACUUCAUGUGUUGGCCCCAGAUUAUUUUUUUCAUGUAGUUCGGUGACCCUCAAUAGAAAAAUGGUUCUCUGUACUUCAAUAAUCUUGACAACAGCAGCUGACAUCAAUGUAGAAAGAAAAGCAAGCUAAAGACAGUAGUUGAGUGUAUGCCUCCUGAAUUGCAUAUUCAGUUGCAAAAUCAUCAUCAUUAUUAUUAUAAUUGCAGAGGGGAGGCAUUUAAAUAAUUGUUCAAAGUGUCUUCUUGAGGAAAUAACUAAAUCAGGGCCAGCUGUCACAAACCAACCUACAAUAAUAAUCCUGUAUGUGCAUCUUCAGUAUUCAUGGCAACUCUUCAAUAACAAAUUUAAGCCUUCAUCUAAUGUCCUUAAGCAACCUAGAAAAUAACAAACAAACCUUGAUCAGACCCAGUGGCUCACUUGGGACUGACCUGUGUUUUUAAGCAGUGUCCCAGAACAACCUUAGAAUCAUACACCACAGAAACAGAAAUUGCACCAUCAAUUCAAUGGCAAA